This 581-nucleotide small RNA is filed under the name Pongo abelii (Sumatran orangutan). Its description in RNAcentral is "processed transcript". Lineage: Eukaryota; Metazoa; Chordata; Mammalia; Primates; Hominidae. The record is from RNAcentral.
AGCACUCAGCAGCAUCCGGGAGAGAGGAGGCAGGGCCUCUGGUGGGAGCCGCCUCAGCCGGCCCUCGGACUGAGAAAUCAGGCUGCACCUCGUCAUCUUCUCAAGUCUUCUGCUUCAUACCUUGUUCUUGUUUACAUGGACUGUUUCCUCAUGGCCUUACCUCAACUGCAGACUGCAAUGUUGGCAGCGUUUUUGUGGGACCCUCGUGAUGUGCUCACAGCGCAGCCUGGGGCCGAACAGUGCGCUGAGAGUUAGCAACAUAUAAGAAUCCUGCAGCCGCAGUUCAGGCUUAUCAGAUUCCGUUUCUGGAAGCUGUACAUCCAGAGAAGGGUGCAGGCCUGGCAGUUCUUAUGGAGCUUCAGGCUGCCCGGGGAGGCGCAGAAGAUUGAUCGCAUGAUGGAGGCUUUCGCUUCUCGCUACUGCCUGUGCAACCCCGGGGUCUUCCAGUCCACAGACACGUGCUACGUGCUGUCAUUCGCCAUCAUCAUGCUCAACACCAGCCUCCACAACCACAACGUGCGCGACAAACCCACGGCAGAACGGUUCAUCGCCAUGAACCGCGGCAUCAACGAGGGCGGGGA